Long non-coding RNA from Nicotiana attenuata, 568 nucleotides. RefSeq lists it as uncharacterized. The record is from RefSeq and is a predicted model, not a curated record. Lineage: Eukaryota; Viridiplantae; Streptophyta; Magnoliopsida; Solanales; Solanaceae. The transcript has 2 exons.
GCAGCGGCGCAUCUCCCCUCUAUUUUUUCCUCCAUCAUCUCCAACCUAUUUCUAAAGUUCUCAAAUAUGGAAAUUUCGCAAGCUAAAAAGUGAUUCCAAGCUAUUUCAGUUUCCAUUCAUCUCACUGAUUUUUUCUGGAAAAUUCAAAGACUUAAUGAGCUGUGAAAUACACUCUGACUGUUUGAUUUGCUGGAUCGCUGUAGCUGAGUUCUGAUUUGCUGUUGAUUUCAGCCUCCAUUUGGCCUUCUUUCUUUUGAAAAAUUAAUCCUCAUGCAGCUAGGGAUUUCAUUGUCGCAGAGGAAAAUCAUGCCUAUUCAAUAAAGUGGUCCCGGAGGCCCUUGGGAACUUUGACACACCAGGAACCAGCUUUAUGCGCUAUGGACGGGCUACCAUUACGCUCAGAGGUGCUAUGUUUGAAGACUUGGUUCUAGGCUGAUGUUGGUCCUAUGAAGGCUCCCUAUAGUAUAGUGAUUUUCAUUUUGUAAUUCAUUCAUAUUGGUCUGUAAUAAUAAUCUUUGUAAAAACAGAUAUUGGAGUUAUUAGUAAAGUUGGGAGGGAUUAUUAUAUA